RNAcentral lists this transfer RNA (1384 nucleotides) under Cervus hanglu yarkandensis (Yarkand deer). Its description in RNAcentral is "lncRNA (ENSCHYG00000020918.1)". The record is from RNAcentral. Lineage: Eukaryota; Metazoa; Chordata; Mammalia; Artiodactyla; Cervidae.
AUGGCCUUUCUAUUCCUGCUCCUUCCCGAGCCAAGCGGCGGGAUCACCUGCCUUGCAUGGGUCUCUCGGCAUUUAGCAAGCUGCUUGUCAUCUCUGGCCAUGGACUCUGAGGGAUCAGAACUGGCUCUGAGUCACUCUGGAAUGAAGUAUCUUCAGAAUUCAAAUUCCUUUUCCUUUUGGUCAGAACUGGGCUUCUGUCGCUGUUUUCGUGACGCGAGCCAAGCCAUCCCUCCUUCUCCAGCAGAGACAGGAUCAGGCCCCAGCCCUUGAAAUUGGCCAUCGGAGGCCUCUAAGCGCGAUGCCAGGGUGGGAGGCAGGCAGGUGCUCAGCCAGUCCCAUGGGUUGGAGUCGAGUGGGACACGCCCCUCUGAACUCCAAGGACCACGACCUUCCCCCACAUUGUAAUGGGGCAACAGUCUGUCACUUCCCUCUUAAAGAGACAUGAUUUGACUAUGAAUGUAAAAAUUGUCCAGACUUAGGUAUGGUUACCUCAUCUGGGAUGUGAUCUGAUUUUAGUUGCCACUGACAAUGUUACAGAGUCAGGGGAAAACGUGAAUCAAAAAACCAUCAGCCUGGAACUUCCCUGGUGGUCCAAGGUCUAAGACUCCGUGCUCCCAAUGCAGGGGGCCCAGGCUUGAUUCCUGGUCAGGGAACUAGAUCCCACAUGCUGCAACUAAGACCCCACAUGCCACAGCUAAGAUCUAGCACGGCCAAGAACAAACAAACAAACAAAAAACCACACCAGCCUGCCCUGACAUUCUCACCCAGCAAAUGUGCUUCUGGAAAUCACUCUAAUUCCAUCCCCUAGUAGUAAUCACUUAAAGUGCAUGAGACUUGGGUUCCAGGGAAUUCAGCACAUCAGCCACUUAACUGUUCCAGGAGGGGGAUUGCUGAGAAGUGUUAUCUGCUCACCCAGGUACACAUGCAUCCAAAACACACAUGCACGCACACACACGCACACACGCGCACACACACACACGCACACACACGCAUACCCAUACACAGGAACCAACACACAUUGACAUACCUGUGUAUACACACAUGCACACACAGAAACACAUCGGGUACACAGACACAUAUACACGUGUACACACACAUAUACUCCCCCAAGCUAACGUGAGAAAACUGGAUGCAAACACUCAUAAGACACUUGCCAUUUUCUUACUCUGGAUGUUUCUACUAAACUGAAGGUUGACUAGAUCCCCGGGCUCAGGAGGGAGAAACAAAUGAUCCUUAUAGUAAAAGGAGGGGACUCUUAUGUGUACAUGUUUGCCCACUUGCAGUUAGUUCUCUCUGCAGAGAAGUUCCUCAUCCUGGGGUUCUGCUCUGAACUGUACCUCUGUCACCCUACUUGGUGACACAACCUCUCCAUCCCAGAUCUAGG